GACGAACCGUCCAAACGUUAUUCGGUAUCACUGGGCUUAAAGCGUGCGUAGGCGGCCUGGUAGGUGUGAUGUGAAAUCCCACAGCUCAACUGUGGAAUUGCGUCGCAAACCACCAGGCUUGAGGAAGACAGGGGUGUUGGGAACUUAUGGUGGAGCGGUGAAAUGCGUUGAUAUCAUAGGGAACACCGGUGGCGAAGGCGCAACACUGGGUCUUUUCUGACGCUGAGGCACGAAAGCUAGGGUAGCGAACGGG
This 253-nucleotide ribosomal RNA is filed under the name uncultured bacterium. RNAcentral describes it as "partial 16S ribosomal RNA". It matches the Rfam family "Bacterial small subunit ribosomal RNA", at positions 524 to 776 of the family's 1533-position model. The record is from RNAcentral.